AACGAACGCUGGCGGCAUGCCUAACACAUGCAAGUCGAACGAGACCUUCGGGUCUAGUGGCGCACGGGUGCGUAACACGUGGGAAUCUGCCCUUUGCUUCGGAAUAACAGUUAGAAAUGACUGCUAAUACCGGAUGAUGUCGAAGGACCAAAGAUUUAUCGGCAAAGGAUGAGCCCGCGUAGGAUUAGGUAGUUGGUGGGGUAAAGGCCUACCAAGCCGACGAUCCUUAGCUGGUCUGAGAGGAUGAUCAGCCACACUGGGACUGAGACACGGCCCAGACUCCUACGGGAGGCAGCAGUGGGGAAUAUUGGACAAUGGGCGAAAGCCUGAUCCAGCAAUGCCGCGUGAGUGAUGAAGGCCUUAGGGUUGUAAAGCUCUUUUACCAGGGAUGAUAAUGACAGUACCUGGAGAAUAAGCUCCGGCUAACUCCGUG
RNAcentral lists this ribosomal RNA (433 nucleotides) under uncultured bacterium. RNAcentral's name for it is "partial 16S ribosomal RNA". It matches the Rfam family "Bacterial small subunit ribosomal RNA", at positions 29 to 507 of the family's 1533-position model. The record is from RNAcentral.